AAGUCGUAACAAGGUUUCCGUAGGUGAACCUGCGGAAGGAUCAUUACCGAGUUAGGGUCUUCUAGGCCCGACCUCCCAACCCUUUGAUUACUGAACCUCUGUUGCUUCGGCGGACCCGUCUUUACAGACCGCCGGAGGAUUGCCCCCCCCAGCGUCCUCUGGUCCGCGUCCGUCGAUAGCCAACCUAUUAAACUCUUAACCAAUCGUGUCACAUGUCUAAGUCAAAUGAUAAAUUAAAGCAAAACUUUCAACAACGGAUCUCUUGGUUCUGGCAUCGAUGAAGAACGCAGCGAAAUGCGAUAAGUAAUGCGAAUUGCAGAAUUCCAGUGAGUCAUCGAAUCUUUGAACGCACAUUGCGCCCUUUGGUAUUCCGAAGGGCAUGCCUGUUCGAGCGUCAUUAUCAACCCUCAAGCCCUGUGCUUGGUAUUGGACGGUUUGGUGCGGCCACCGGCCCCACCCCUCCCAAAGACAAUGACGGCGGCCUGUGGUUCCCCCGGUACACUGAGCUUUUAACUAGGCGCGUAUCGGAUAAGGGCGUCCCGGACCCGGUCCUUCUCCUUUUACAAGGAAAUUUACAAAGGUUGACCUCGGAUCAGGUAGGAAUACGCGCUGAACUUA
Molecule: ribosomal RNA, 618 nt
Filed under: uncultured fungus
Lineage: Eukaryota; Fungi
Description: eukaryotic LSU rRNA
Rfam family: 5.8S ribosomal RNA (bases 243-397)
Source: RNAcentral